CCGUUCCAUUUGUCAGUUCCGGUCUCAGAACUCGGAAAAUAACUCUUGCGCUCCGACUUCUCGGACAAAUGGAACGUACGACAACUUCCUACAAUGAAAAGUGCAAUGGAACAACAUUUGAAGUCAGAAUUCCAACUUGGAAACUCGUGUGGAAAUGUUUAAAUUCCGAUUUUGCCGAGAUGCAGGUGCAUGAGUUCACACAAACAUGUCAGCACCCAGGUAGAUAUACUAAGAUACAUGAACACGAGCAGGACGUCAAGAGCUGUGAAGUAAACAAAACUAAACCAAGACCUACAGCUAUGAAACAAUCUUCUGGCUAAACCUGUUUUAACCUACAGUGGCCCCAAAAGUGUGUUAACACGGUAACCUCCACCACUCCACCACCACCAGUUGAGUCCCGUCCUGCAUGGGGGUAGGCUCCUCGCCCCUGCCUCUUAUCUCCGGCAGGAUAAGACAGUUCCGAGUACAAGUCCUUUGGACCGCCAGACUAGAGACAUUUCAUUUCUGUUUUAUAUUCAUCAAAUAAAUGUCAUCUUAA
This is a long non-coding RNA of Xyrauchen texanus (razorback sucker), 538 nucleotides long. RefSeq lists it as uncharacterized. The record is from RefSeq and is a predicted model, not a curated record. The transcript is spliced from 3 exons. Lineage: Eukaryota; Metazoa; Chordata; Actinopteri; Cypriniformes; Catostomidae.